ACGAACGCUGGCGGCGUGCCUAAUACAUGCAAGUAGAACGCACAGUUUAUACCGUAGCUUGCUACACCAUAGACUGUGAGUUGCGAACGGGUGAGUAACGCGUAGGUAACCUGCCUGGUAGCGGGGGAUAACUAUUGGAAACGAUAGCUAAUACCGCAUAAUAUUAAUUAUUGCAUGAUAAUUAAUUGAAAGGUGCAAUUGCACCACUACCAGAUGGACCUGCGUUGUAUUAGCUAGUAGGUGAGGUAACGGCUCACCUAGGCGACGACACAUAGCCGACCUGCGAGGGUGAUCGGCCACACUGGGACUGAGACACGGCCCAGACUCCUACGGGAGGCAGCAGUAGGGAAUCUUCGGCAAUGGACGAAAGUCUGACCGAGCAACGCCGCGUGAGUGAAGAAGGUUUUCGGAUCGUAAAGCUCGGUUGUAAGAGAAGAACGGGUGUGAGAGUGGAAAGUUCACACUGUGACGGUAUCUUACCAGAAAGGGACGGCUAACUACGUG
Molecule: ribosomal RNA, 504 nt
Filed under: uncultured bacterium
Lineage: Bacteria
Description: partial 16S ribosomal RNA
Rfam family: Bacterial small subunit ribosomal RNA
Source: RNAcentral